AUGUGGAUUUCAUAUGCUACCUCUCUGUCCGCAGGGGAUGCCGCUCGUUGGCUCGAAUCAGUUCACAGGCGUGUGCCACAGAUUAGUUGGGAAGAAUUUUGUCGCUUGUAUCAGUCUCGUUUUGGUCGCGAUUUGCAUCAAACGAUUCUGCAUAAAUUUUCAAACAUCUGCCAAACUAGUACAGUAGAAGAUUAUGUGGAACGCUUUUCAUAUCUCUAUGAUGAGCUAGCGGCAUAUGAAGAAUUUUCCAAUACAAUUCACUACGUGACCAGAUUUAUGGAAGGAUUAAAACCUCCAAUACGCCUUGCAAUGAGUAUUCAGCAACCAACAUACUUGGAUACAGCUUACCAGUUGGCCAUUUUGCAUGAAGAACUGGGGUUUGGCAGUGGUUCUAGCUCCUCUCUGGCUCCCUCACGUCGAACUAUUGCUCUACCACUUCCUCCCCCACCAAUUCCUGCACCUAUCAACAGGGUGUCUGAUGGGCGCCAUGUUACUGAACCUGUCAGACAAUCGAACUCCGAGGACAAGUGGGGAGCAUUGUGUGCGUACUGUAAUGUUGGAAUAUGCCCUAGAGGCAAUAAUGAAUUGGUUAUUAUCAUAUUUCCUUGUUCGUGA
This 615-nucleotide ribosomal RNA is filed under the name Triticum aestivum (bread wheat). RNAcentral describes it as "partial small subunit ribosomal RNA". The record is from RNAcentral. Lineage: Eukaryota; Viridiplantae; Streptophyta; Magnoliopsida; Poales; Poaceae.